RNAcentral lists this ribosomal RNA (119 nucleotides) under Oncorhynchus kisutch (coho salmon). The record is from RNAcentral. Lineage: Eukaryota; Metazoa; Chordata; Actinopteri; Salmoniformes; Salmonidae.
GCUUAUGACCACACCGGCCUGAGUACGCCUGAUCUCGUCUGAUCUCGGAAUCUAAGCAGGGUCGGGCCUGGUUAGUCCUUGGAUGGGAGACCUCCUGGGAAUACCAGGUGCUGUAAGCU